GAUCGCAAGAUCGGCGAAAUGCUCAGUAACACGUCGUUAACGUGCCCUUUGGUCAGGCAUAAGCACGGGAAACUGUGUGUAAUUCCUGAUAGGGAAGCCAACCUGAAUGGUGGUUUCUUUUAAACUCGUGCCAAAGGAUCGGACGGCGGCGGAUUAGGUAGUUGGCGGUGUAAUGGACCACCAAGCCGUUGAUCCGUACGGGCCAUGAGAGUGGUAGCCCGGAGAGGGACACUGAGAUACUGGUCCCAGCCCUACGGGGUGCAGCAGGCGCGAAACCUUUACAAUGCACGCAAGUGUGAUAAGGGGAUCCCCCGUGCUCAUGCAUUGCAUGGGCUUUUGCCUAGUGUAAAUAGCUAGGCGAAUAAGUGGUGGGAAAGACUGGUGCCAGCCGCCGCGGUAACACCAGCGCCACGAGUGGUGACCACGUUUAUUGGGCCUAAAGCGUCCGUAGCCGGUUUGUGUAAGUCUUUUGUGAAAUUGUUGGGCUUAACCCAACAGCGUGCAAGAGAUACUGCCGGACUCGAGACCGGGAGGAGUCAGAAGUAUUCCAGGGGGAGCGGUUAAAUGUUAUAAUCCCUGGAGGACUACCUGUGGCGAAGGCGUCUGACUAGAACGGCUCUGACGGUGAGGGACGAAAGCCAGGGGAGCGAACCGGAUUAGAUACCCGAGUAGUCCUGGCCGUGAACGCUGUGAGCUAGGUGUUGCAUCAACUACGCGUUGGUGCAGUGUCGAAAGGAAGCUGUUAAGCUCACCGCCUGGGAAGUACGGUCGCAAGACUGAAACUUUAAGGAAUUGGCGGGGGAGCACCACAAGGGGUGCGGCGUGCGGUUUAAUCUAACUCAACGCAGAGAACCUUACUAGGAGCGACGGCAGUAUGAAGGCCAGUUUGAAGAGCUUACCUGACAAGCCGAGAGGUGGUGCAUGGCCGUCGUCAGCUCGUGCUGUGAAGUGUCCAGCUAAGCCUGGCAACGAGCGAGACCUGUAUCUGCAAUUGCUAACAGCUGUUUACAGGACUGAGCACUUUGCAGAGACUGCCCUGGAAACAGGGAGGAAGGUGCAGGCUACGGUAGGUCUGUAUGCCCCGAAUCUCCUAGGCUACACGCGCGCAACAAUGGUUGGGACAAUGGGAUGCCACUCCGAAAGGAGAAGCUAAACCUCAUAACCCAAUCCAAGUUCAGAUUGAGGGUUGCAACUCACCCUCAUGACGACGGAAUCCCUAGUAAUCAGAAGUCAUCAUCUUCUGGUGAAUAUGUCCCUGCUCCUUGCACACACCGCCCGUCAAAUCAACCGAGCAGUGUCUGGGUAAAAUGCAGUUUCUUGAUUGCAUUGAAUCUAGGCUCAGUGAGGUGGGUUAAGUCGUCACAAGGUA
Molecule: ribosomal RNA, 1369 nt
Filed under: metagenome
Description: bacterial SSU rRNA
Rfam family: Archaeal small subunit ribosomal RNA
Source: RNAcentral